UCCGUUAUGGUCUAGUGGCUAGGAUACAUCGCUCUCACGCCAGUGCAAGUGCCGAUGUGGCCGGGGUUCGAUUCCCCGUGACGGAA
Molecule: transfer RNA, 86 nt
Filed under: Epicoccum nigrum
Lineage: Eukaryota; Fungi; Ascomycota; Dothideomycetes; Pleosporales; Didymellaceae
Rfam family: tRNA
About the family: Transfer RNA (tRNA) molecules are approximately 80 nucleotides in length. Their secondary structure includes four short double-helical elements and three loops (D, anti-codon, and T loops). Further hydrogen bonds mediate the characteristic L-shaped molecular structure. tRNAs have two regions of fundamental functional importance: the anti-codon, which is responsible for specific mRNA codon recognition, and the 3' end, to which the tRNAs corresponding amino acid is attached (by aminoacyl-tRNA synthetases). tRNAs cope with the degeneracy of the genetic code in two manners: having more than one tRNA (with a specific anti-codon) for a particular amino acid; and 'wobble' base-pairing, i.e. permitting non-standard base-pairing at the 3rd anti-codon position.
Source: Rfam by way of RNAcentral